ACAAAAUAUGGGAAAAUCUUCCACAAAGAAUCGACGAUUACAUUAUUCCGGUCCCACAACAAGGAAAUGAUUAUGAUUGUGGACUCUUUGUGCUAUUCUUUAUGGAACGAUUCAUUGCUGAAGUUCAUGAAAGACUUAAAAAGAAGGAUCUGACAAUGUUCGGAAGAAAGUGGUUUAAACCUGAAGAAGCAUCUCGUAUGAGGCGGAUAAUUCGCGACAUACUUGAGGAAAAAUUCAAGAAUCCAAGUGACAAAUAGUGUUUCUUGGUCACCUUUUUUUGCAACAACAUACCCAG
This 295-nucleotide unclassified non-coding RNA is filed under the name Hevea brasiliensis (rubber tree). Lineage: Eukaryota; Viridiplantae; Streptophyta; Magnoliopsida; Malpighiales; Euphorbiaceae. The record is from RNAcentral.